This 1584-nucleotide ribosomal RNA is filed under the name Odorrana macrotympana. Its description in RNAcentral is "16S ribosomal RNA". It matches the Rfam family "Bacterial large subunit ribosomal RNA". Lineage: Eukaryota; Metazoa; Chordata; Amphibia; Anura; Ranidae. The record is from RNAcentral.
GCCCUAAAUCUAGCCCACAUAACCCGCAUGACACCAUAAAACUCCUGUAAAAGACAAAACAUUUUAAUAUUAUAGUAUAGGCGAUAGAAAAAUUAAUAAGCGCUUUAGAUUAAGUACCGUAAGGGAAAGAUGAAAUAGAAAUGAAAUAAUAUUAUAGCCUCAAACAGCAGAGAUAUCCCCUCGUACCUUUCGCAUCAUGGUCUAGCUAGUCCUCUCGAGCAAGAUGAAAAUCUUAGUUCGACCCCCCGAAACUAAGCGAGCUACUUCAAAACAGCCCUAAGAGCUAACCCCUCUCUGUUGCAAAAGAGUGGGAAGAUUUUCAAGUAGAGGUGAUAAGCCUACCGAGCUUAGAGAUAGCUGGUUGUUCGAGAAAAGAGUAUUAGCUCUGCCUUAAGUUUCCUUAUUAUACUAAACAAAUUAAUAAACUUAAGAGUUAUUCAAAUUAGGCACAGCUUAUUUGAAAUAGGAUACAACCUCAACCAUUGGGUAAACUGGGUAAUAAAAAUAAAGUUGGCCUAAAAGCAGCCACCUUCAAAAAAACGUCAAAGCUUAACUACCAUAACCCCUAAUUACCAAAAUUAUACCAAACCCCUCAUCCCUACCGAACCAUUUUAUACUAUUAUAAAAAUGAUUAUGCUAGAACUAGUAACAAGAACUAGCCGUUCUCCACAAUGCAAGCUUAAACCAAAAUGGACACCCCAUUGGUAAUUAACGUAAAUGUAAAACCAUAGCAACAUCCACCAGAAAACCCUAUGACCUACCCCACGUUACCCUAACACCAGAGCAUUACAGGAAAGAUUAAAAGAAAGAGAAGGAACUCGGCAAACCUUGGCCCCGCCUGUUUACCAAAAACAUCGCCUCUUGAUUAUAUAUAAGAGGUCCAGCCUGCCCAGUGAAAUUUUUAACGGCCGCGGUAUACUGACCGUGCGAAGGUAGCAUAAUCACUUGUUCUUUAAAUAGGGACUCGUAUCAACGGCACCACGAGGGCUAUACUGUCUCCACUCUCCAAUCAGUGAAACUGAUCUCCCCGUGAAGAAGCGGGGAUCUAAUUAUAAGACGAGAAGACCCCAUGGAGCUUUAAAUUCAACAUGCACCUAUUUAAUUAAUCACCAACUUAGCUUCAAAAAGCUGCAUGUUAAUUUUAGGCUGGGAGGGCCGCGGAGUAAAAUUAAACCUCCACAACAAAUGGGUUAAUACCCUUAUCUUCGAUUGACAAAUCUAAGAAUCACCAAAAUGAUGUUAAAUGAUCCGAUAACUCGAUUAAUGGACCAAGUUACCCUGGGGAUAACAGCGCAAUCCUCUUCAAGAGCCCAUAUCGACAAGCGGGUUUACGACCUCGAUGUUGGAUCAGGGUAUCCUAGUGGUGCAACCGCUACUAAUGGUUCGUUUGUUCAACGAUUAAAACCCUACGUGAUCUGAGUUCAGACCGGAGUAAUCCAGGUCGGUUUCUAUCUAUAAAGAACCCCCCCCAGUACGAAAGGACCGGGAGAGUAUGGCCAAUACAAAAACAAGCCAGACUACUAUAUCAAUGAAAUAAUCUUAAUUGAUCAUGACCUUGCACCCCCCCCCCCAAAACCAGGGGUU